Molecule: ribosomal RNA, 786 nt
Filed under: Salmonella enterica subsp. enterica
Lineage: Bacteria; Pseudomonadati; Pseudomonadota; Gammaproteobacteria; Enterobacterales; Enterobacteriaceae
Description: partial 23S ribosomal RNA
Rfam family: Bacterial large subunit ribosomal RNA
Source: RNAcentral
UGGUUCUCCCCGAAAGCUAUUUAGGUAGCGCCUCGUGAAUUCAUCUCCGGGGGUAGAGCACUGUUUCGGCUAGGGGGCCAUCCCGGCUUACCAACCCGAUGCAAACUGCGAAUACCGGAGAAUGUUAUCACGGGAGACACACGGCGGGUGCUAACGUCCGUCGUGAAGAGGGAAACAACCCAGACCGCCAGCUAAGGUCCCAAAGUCAUGGUUAAGUGGGAAACGAUGUGGGAAGGCCCAGACAGCCAGGAUGUUGGCUUAGAAGCAGCCAUCAUUUAAAGAAAGCGUAAUAGCUCACUGGUCGAGUCGGCCUGCGCGGAAGAUGUAACGGGGCUAAACCAUGCACCGAAGCUGCGGCAGCGAACGUAUCACCCAAGACAACUUUACGGAGUUGACGAUUGACGGAGCGAAGCGACGUCAAAGCGUUCAUUAAAGUCGAGUUGGCUUAGGGAUACGUUCGUUGGGUAGGGGAGCGUUCUGUAAGCCUGUGAAGGUGUGUCGUGAGGCAUGCUGGAGGUAUCAGAAGUGCGAAUGCUGACAUAAGUAACGAUAAAGCGGGUGAAAAGCCCGCUCGCCGGAAGACCAAGGGUUCCUGUCCAACGUUAAUCGGGGCAGGGUGAGUCGACCCCUAAGGCGAGGCCGAAAGGCGUAGUCGAUGGGAAACGGGUUAAUAUUCCCGUACUUGGUGUUACUGCGAAGGGGGGACGGAGAAGGCUAUGUUGGCCGGGCGACGGUUGUCCCGGUUUAAGCGUGUAGGUGUGUGUUCCAGGUAAAUCCGGUUCACUU